This 630-nucleotide ribosomal RNA is filed under the name uncultured bacterium. Its description in RNAcentral is "bacterial SSU rRNA". The stretch from base 1 to 534 matches the Rfam family "Bacterial small subunit ribosomal RNA", at positions 338 to 873 of the family's 1533-position model. The record is from RNAcentral.
CCUACGGGAGGCAGCAGUGAGGAAUAUUGGACAAUGGGCGCAAGCCUGAUCCAGCCAUGCCGCGUGCAGGAUGACGGUCCUAUGGAUUGUAAACUGCUUUUAUACAGGAAGAAACACCCCGACGUGUCGGGACUUGACGGUACUGUAAGAAUAAGGAUCGGCUAACUCCGUGCCAGCAGCCGCGGUAAUACGGAGGAUCCAAGCGUUAUCCGGAAUCAUUGGGUUUAAAGGGUCCGUAGGCGGUUAGAUAAGUCAGUGGUGAAAGCCCAUCGCUCAACGGUGGAACGGCCAUUGAUACUGUUUAACUUGAAUUAUUAGGAAGUAACUAGAAUAUGUAGUGUAGCGGUGAAAUGCUUAGAGAUUACAUGGAAUACCAAUUGCGAAGGCAGGUUACUACUAAUGGAUUGACGCUGAUGGACGAAAGCGUGGGUAGCGAACAGGAUUAGAUACCCUGGUAGUCCACGCCGUAAACGAUGGAUACUAGCUGUUGGAAGACAUUACUAGUGUCGUAGAGAAGUAGAUAAGUAUACCACCGUCGGGUAGGUACGUUACGUCGAAGAAGUAGAAACGUUAAAAGGUAAAGUUAGUACGGCGUGAGACGUAGCCGACGGACGACGACGAGGGAGGAGG